This 284-nucleotide long non-coding RNA is filed under the name Arachis ipaensis. Its description in RNAcentral is "long non-coding RNA (AIPA_LNC002597)". Lineage: Eukaryota; Viridiplantae; Streptophyta; Magnoliopsida; Fabales; Fabaceae. The record is from RNAcentral.
UCUGGUACACUCACCACACCGCAAUCCCAAGUUAAGCGAUGAGAAAGCAACAUAUACACCAUCUUUCACAAACAAACCAAAAAUUCACACAACAUCAAAAUUCACACAGCAUAAAAAUUAACAAUUAACACAAACAGCAAGUAGCCACUUAACAAGGGAAUGAAGUGGUCUCUUUUCUUUUCUCAGAACUCAGAAACAAAGUGAGAAGAGCCACGGCGAGCGGAGAAGAAUUUCAGUGGUCUUACCGGGGCGAAGAGCGGCCGAGGGGAGCGACGACAAGNNNN